RNAcentral lists this ribosomal RNA (363 nucleotides) under uncultured rumen bacterium. Its description in RNAcentral is "bacterial SSU rRNA". It matches the Rfam family "Bacterial small subunit ribosomal RNA", at positions 19 to 363 of the family's 1533-position model. The record is from RNAcentral.
UUGGCUCAGGAUGAACGCUGGCGGCGUGCUUAACACAUGCAAGUCGAGCGAGAAAUAUAUCAGUUGAUACUUCGGUUGAAACAGAUAUAUGGAAAGCGGCGGACGGGUGAGUAACGCGUGGGAAACCUGCCCUUAUCAGGGGGACAGCCGAGGGAAACUUCGAUUAAUACCCCAUAAUGCAUAAGAGAGACAUCUCUCAUAUGCCAAAGAUUUAUCGGAUAAGGAUGGUCCCGCGUCUGAUUAGGUAGUUGGUGGGGUAACGGCCUACCAAGCCGACGAUCAGUAGCCGACCUGAGAGGGUGACCGGCCACAUUGGGACUGAGACACGGCCCAAACUCCUACGGGAGGCAGCAGUGGGGAAUA